GGAUUAAGAAAGAAUCAAACACCCACUUCUGCUUUCCACUCUCUCUUCCUUCACUUGCUUUCUUUCUCUCGUCUCGCGCGGACGCGAAACCCUCGCGAUCGAUCUCCGUCCGCCGUGAAAGGGUCUUGGUCUUUUGUGGGGAGCUUGGUCCGUUGGUCGUUCUUGAACUGCCACCAGCAGGAUUCAGCUUGGAGUGGAGAGGGGCCGGUUCGAUCGGUGGGCGGUCGAGAGUUCGGGUUUAGGCCGGGUGCCGGAAGCGGGGUGGCGCUGCCGGUGACGGAUGGCGCUGUUCAAGAGGCUGUUCUUCCGGAAGCCGCCCGAUCGGCUGCUGGAGAUUGCCGAACGCGUUUACGUGUUUGACUGCUGUUUCUCGACUGAAACCACGGGAGAAUGUGAGUACAAGAACUAUAUGGGUGGGGCAUUUGCCCAACUGCAGGGCUAUCACCCGGAUGCUUCCUUCAUGGUUUGUAAUUUCAGAGAAAGAGAUAAGAGGAGCCAAAUUUCAGACAUUUUGUCGGAGUAUGAUAUCAUGGUCAUGGACUACCCGCUGCAGUCCAAGGGAUGUCCUUUGCUCCCUUUGGUGAUGAUCCACCAUUUCCUGAAGUCAAGCGAGAGCUGGCUGUCAAUGGAAGGGCUACAUAAUGUAUUGCUGAUGCACUGUGAGCGGGAAGGUUGGCUGGUCCUUGCCUUCAUGCUUGCUAGCUUACUCCUUUACGGGAAGCAGUACACUGGGGAACAAAAGACUCUUGAAAUGGUGUACAAGCAAGCUCCUAAGGAAUUCCUUCAUCUUUUGUCCCCCUUGAACCCUCAACCUUCUCAUCUUAGAUACCUUCAAUACAUAUCCAGACGAGGUAGCAUGUCAGAUUGGCCUCCACGAGAAACCACUUUCACCUUGGAAUGCCUGAUUAUCAAAGCCAUUCCCAGGUUUGAUCGCGAAGGUGGCUGUAGGCCAAUGGUUCGCAUAUACCGGCAAGACCAUUUGACACCCACAAGCAGUAGUCCAAAGAUGCUUUUCGCAACACCAAGGACCAAGAAGCACAUUCAUCAUUAUAGACAGGCUGUAACAACAAAAAUUAAUGCUUGUUGCUGCGUUCAAGGAGAUAUUGUCAUCGAAUGCCUGCAUCUGGACGAAGAUCUGGAACAUGAGGAAAUGAUGUUCAGAGUCAUGUUUAACACAGCAUUUGUCCAAUCUAAUAUUUUGGCAUUGACACGUGAUGAAAUUGAUCUUGUAUGGAGUGCGAAGGAUCAUUUCCCAAAGGACUUCAAAAUCGAGGUUGUCUUUUCAAACUCUGAUGCUUCCAUAUCUGAUACAAGCACAGAAAUGGUCGUUGAAGGGAGGAAAGAGACACAAUGUGUUUCCAAAGAAGCAGCUGAGUUUUUUGAGGCAGAAGCAUUUAGCAGUUCAGAUUGGCAUGACAUAAAAAGAGAUCCUUAUUUCCAGAUCCAUGAUGCCAAAAGAGAUCCUGGAAGGAGUCCUAAGGACGAAAAUUAUAUUUUGUCAGAGGGAGCAAGGUGCAAAUUGGAAAUGAGUAAUUCUGACGAGGUCUCAAAGAGUAUGAUCACCCAAAAUUUUGCCGAUGUGGAAAAAAUAGGUGUCAACUCAGAAUUUCCUGGUAUGCUCGGUCAAGCUGAGAUUAUUUGUGAAACUAGCAAUUUCAAACAUGAUAAGGAGAUUGUUGCUGAAAGAUUAGUUGAUUUGGACAUUGUGGUUCCAAUUGAAGACAAGAUGAUUGUAGAGAGAAGCACACCCCCUCAGCAAAGGAAUGGCACAUCAACUUCAGAAGCUGAAGAGAAGAUUGCUUUAGAGAACAGCGAUUUUAAUCAAGAGAGAGUAGGUGACAUCAAGGUGUCAGCUAUUCCAGAGAAUAUGAGUCACAAGUUAGAAGCUCCAUCUAUGGCAGGUAUGCUAAAGCAGGAAAGUUCUAUAAAGAGGUCUGCUGCAAGGUAUGAUGAGCCCAGUUCAGAGACAUCGUGUUGUGGUAGACAUACAGGCUCUUUAGUUAUAGGAGAUGAGGUAGAACCACGGGAUAAGAAUCGUUUGGAAACUCUGGGUAUUGGAUUCCAAACAAUGAGUGGAUUACCUACCACUAGCACAAAACCUAAGGUAAAUGAUGAAAUGUCUGUGCUUGCAGACUACAUGGUUGCAUGUGAGGAGAAGAAUAUAAUAGAAGUGAGCAAUUACCAACAUGAAUUAAAGGACAUUGUUGUUCUAGCUGUUGAAGAUGAUACAACUGAAAUGUGUGAUAUCAAGCAUGAUUCAGCUCACAUUGUUACAGAUAAGAUGAUAAAUUUGCAUGAUAUACAUUGUGAGUCAGAAGCACAAGCUCUGAAAGUAAAGGCUGAAAGCAUAUUAGAGCAAAGAGAGUGUAAACCUAACCCAGAGAUUACUGUUAACAGGAAAAAGUUCAUUCUGGUUGACAAGGCUCAUAAUCCAGGGAACCAGGAUAUAGAAAACAAAGGGAAGUUCAAGAUGGAAAUGCAUGUGGGGAAAGAUAAUACAGAGAAUGGUGUUUCUGAAAGUGAGAUAGAUCUGAAGGUUGUCAGUCAGAAAGCACUAUAUGAUGGUCAAAUGCUGACGCCUAAAGAGUCUCCGUGUACAAUUUCAAAGAAAAUACCAACAUGUAUAAGACUGUCUGAUUCCGGUGUAAUAAAAACAAGGAUUAAACAACAAGAAAGUGUCGGAUAUGGUCUGCCUCCUCUUUCACCAGCUAUACUUUCAUGUUCAUUUGCUAAAGGCCCGUCUUGUCCACCUAUGCUCUUAGGAGAAUCUACCAAAGGCCUACCACUCCUCGAUUCCCAUGUGAUCUCAGGAGCUUCUGUCAAAAGUGCAGCUCUGCCUCCUCCUCCACCAUCACCACCCUUAUGUCCUAAAGCCAAUAUGAAAGGUGCUCUUCUGCCACAACCACCUUCUGCUCCACCUCACGCCAAAAAUUUGUUACCUCCUCCUUUGUUGCUACCAAAUCGAGGAGGAAGAACUCAAGGUCCACCACCUUCACCUCCACCUCCAUCUCCUCUUGACCAAAAUGUUGGUGUAUAUAUUCCUCAUCCUCCUCAUUCAGCAAUAUCUGUUAAAUGCUUUUCAAUGAUGCCUCCUGCUCCACCACUAGAGCCAUUGCUAAAUUCUCACUCAAAUGCAUCAAAACCCCCAGAAGGUGCUGCCCCUAUCCUGUCUCCACCUCCAUCUGCAACUCAUGGAGGAGCUCGACCUCCACUACGUGCUCCAGGAGCACAUGGUGGCGCUCCUCCUCCUCCACCACCUCCUAGAGCUCGUACUCCUAAACAGCGAGCCUCUCCUCAUGUAAGACGACUUCCUUCUUCUACUGUGUCAGCUAUGCCUGUUUCUCAGGUUGAUGCUAGAGGUAUAUCACCUAGGCAUGGACUCAUAUGUCCAACAAGUUCAGUGAGUUCAGCACCUUGUAGGUCAUCACUGAAGCCAUUGCACUGGGUGAAAGUAACAAGAGCAGUUCAAGGAAGCAUAUGGGCAGAACUUCAAAAAUCUGAGGAUGCUUCAAAUGCUUCAGAAUUUGAUGUAUCUGAACUUGAAAGACUCUUCCCAGCAGUGGUACCCAAAAAUGAUAUCUCUAAAACUGAGGGUCGUCAUAAAUUUCUUGGAUUGAAACCUGACAAAGUUCGCUUGAUUGACUUAAGGCGGGCUAACAACACUGAAAUCAUGCUGACAAAAGUCAAGAUUCCACUUUCUGAUUUGGUGAGUGCUGCUCUUGCAAUGGAUGAUUCUAUUUUAGAUGUGGAUCAAGUGGAAAAUAUGAUCAAAUUUUGUCCAACCAAAGAGGAAAUGGAGCUGCUGAAGGGGUACACUGGAGACAAGGACCAGCUUGGUAAAUGUGAGCAGUAUUUUCUAGAGUUGAUGAAAGUUCCACGUGUGGAGUCGAAACUAAGAGUUUUUUCUUUCAAGAUUCAGUUUGGCUCACAGGUUUUGGAUAUUAGAAAGAGUUUAAACACUAUAGACUCUGUUUGUGAACAGGUUUGCAGUUCUGCCAAAUUAAAGGAGAUAAUGAAGAAAAUUCUGUACCUUGGAAAUACAUUAAACCAAGGAACUGCAAGAGGCUCAGCUAUUGGUUUCCACCUGGACAGUCUUCUAAAACUUACUGAUACUCGUUCCACCAACAAUAAGAUGACACUGAUGCAUUAUUUAUGCAAGGCACUUGCUAUCAAGUCCCCACAUCUUCUGGAUUUUCAUGAGGAUAUUACAAGUUUGGAAGCUGCAUCUAAGAUACAACUGAAAUAUUUGGCUGAAGAAAUGCAGGCCGUAGUCAAAGGGUUGGAGAAGGUCGGGUUUGAGCUGCAAGCUUCUGAAAAUGAUGGCCCUAUAUCUGAAGUAUUUCUAAAGACCCUGAAGGAGUUUACUGCUGUUGCUGCAGCUGAAGUACAAUCCUUAACAAUGCUUUAUACUGAAGUGGGUAGAAAAGCAGAUGCCCUUGCCUUAUACUUUGGCGAAGAUCCUGCACAAUGUUCUUUUGAACAAGUAGUGACUACUCUUCGGAAUUUCAUAUCGUUAUUUCGGCGGGCACAUCAGGAUAACUGCAAGCAGGCUGAGCUUGAGAAGAAAGCUGAGAAAGAUUGGGGGAUAGACAAGUCCAAAUCUUCGACACCCAGGAGUAGAGCUGUCAAGGACACCAGAGAAACAAAUCGAGGAGAUAAAAAUGUCAGAUGACCAUCCACCUGCUUAUUGACUACUAUUUUAAUUAGCUUGUCCCAAAUAAUACUCCACCUCAUGAUAUCCCUCCAUUGUUGAUGAGAAAAGAGUACUGCCUACCAGGCGACUCGGGUCAGGAAUGAUAGAACUGAACCCGAGAUGCUGCAUCAAACAUGGCACCGGAAUCAUGAUACGGGAGAUCCCAGGAUGGUGAUCUACUUGUCUGGUAAUCUUAAUCUAUUGUGUAUCGAGGCGCUAAGUUUGUUGGUUGCUGGGUUCAGAUGUCAACAGCUCCAUUGAUCAGCCUCAUGAAUGAUGAACAGUGCUUGUCGAACACCAAAUUGACUCAACAAAAGCGGCCAUUAACAUUUCAUCGGUCCACUUCGGGAGAAGCAUUCUGCGUUCCUUUCAGAGCACGGCCAUCCCCAUCCAAUUCUUCCAUGACAGAGGACCUACAGGUGAAGUAGAACACUGCGCUCAUCAUUGAAUCUAUCAGUACAACAAAGGAGUA
This is an RNA transcript of Musa acuminata AAA Group (dessert banana), 5165 nucleotides long. It is a transcript of the gene named formin-like protein 5, with no coding region annotated. The record is from RefSeq and is a predicted model, not a curated record. The transcript is spliced from 20 exons. Lineage: Eukaryota; Viridiplantae; Streptophyta; Magnoliopsida; Zingiberales; Musaceae.